GAUGAACGCUGGCGGCGUGCCUAAUACAUGCAAGUCGAGCGAAUGGAUUAAGAGCUUGCUCUUAUGAAGUUAGCGGCGGACGGGUGAGUAACACGUGGGUAACCUGCCCAUAAGACUGGGAUAACUCCGGGAAACCGGGGCUAAUACCGGAUAACAUUUUGAACCGCAUGGUUCGAAAUUGAAAGGCGGCUUCGGCUGUCACUUAUGGAUGGGCCCGCGGCGCAUUAGCUAGUUGGUGAGGUAACGGCUCACCAAGGCGACGAUGCGUAGCCGACCUGAGAGGGUGAUCGGCUACACUGGGACUGAGACACGGCCCAGACUCCUACGGGAGGCAGCAGUAGGGAAUCUUCCGCAAUGGACGAAAGUCUGACGGAGCAACGCCGCGUGAGUGAUGAAGGUUUUCGGAUCGUAAAACUCUGUUGUUAGGGAAGAACAAGUACUAGAGUAACUGCUAGUACCUUGACGGUACCUAACCAGAAAGCCACGGCUAACUACGUGCCAGCCGCCGCAGUAA
RNAcentral lists this ribosomal RNA (514 nucleotides) under uncultured bacterium. Its description in RNAcentral is "partial 16S ribosomal RNA". It matches the Rfam family "Bacterial small subunit ribosomal RNA", at positions 28 to 523 of the family's 1533-position model. The record is from RNAcentral.